This 486-nucleotide ribosomal RNA is filed under the name uncultured bacterium. RNAcentral's name for it is "partial 16S ribosomal RNA". It matches the Rfam family "Bacterial small subunit ribosomal RNA", at positions 29 to 507 of the family's 1533-position model. The record is from RNAcentral.
AUUGAACGCUGGCGGCAUGCCUAACACAUGCAAGUCGAACGGCAGCACGGGUGCUUGCAGCUGGUGGCGAGUGGAGAACGGGUGAGUAUUACAUCGGAACAGGUACUGUAGUGGGGGAUAGCCCGGAGAAAGCCGGAUUAAUACCGCAAACGAUAUACGGCUGCAAGCGGAGGCCCUUGGGGCUUCGCGCUUUCGGGUUGGGCGAAGGCUGAUUAGCUAGUUGGAGGGGUAAAGGCCUACCAAGGCGACGAACAGUAGCUGGUCUGAGAGGACGACCAGCCACACUGGGACUGAGACGCGGCCCAGACUCCUACGGGAGGCAGCAGUGGGGACUUUUGGACAAUGGGCGAAAGCCUGAUCCAGCAAUGCCGCGUGUGUGAAGAAGGCCUUCGGGUUGUAAAGCACUUUUGUCCGGAAAGAAAACCUUGGCCCUAAUACGGUCGGGGGAUGACGGUACCGGAAGAAUAAGCACCGGCUAACUACGUG